Molecule: non-coding RNA, 1928 nt
Organism: Sesamum indicum (sesame)
Lineage: Eukaryota; Viridiplantae; Streptophyta; Magnoliopsida; Lamiales; Pedaliaceae
Source: RefSeq, a predicted model, not a curated record
UCCGAAUCCGAUCCCCCUCUAAUCGACCGUUGGUUCCCGCCAUGAAUGUCCUCAUCCACUCCGCUACCUCUCGAUUCCCUAAUCCUCGUCUCCACCGCCCAUUACGUACAUCUCUCCGCCAAUGCGUCUUCUCCGUUAGGUCAAGUUUUAAUCUUCCUUUUCAAGAGCAGAAAGCGAAGUACUAUGAACAUCUGCAAGCAGCCGUUGGUGUUGUCGAGCGCGCCUGCCGUCUUUGUGUUGAUGUGCAAAAAUCAUUGUUUUCAAGCGAUGGAAAGAUCAUCGAGAAAAUGGAUAAGACACCGGUCACCGUUGCAGAUUUUGGAGCUCAAGCUCUUAUUAGCCUGGAGAUGAGCAAACUCUUUCCUUCUAUUCCAUUGGUAGCUGAGGAGGACUCAGCAUUUGUACGAGAAAAUAAUUUGGUGGAUGCUGUCGUUGAGGUCGUUAGUGAUAAAGCAACUAUUGGAGAUAAAGAAUUAAGUCAAGAUGAUGUUUUGAAGGCUAUUGAUAGAGGUGGAAAAGAUGCCUAUGUGUUUGGACCUGAGCCAGCUACUUAUUGGAUAUUGGAUCCAAUUGAUGGUACACGAGGAUUUGUCAAAGGUAGUGAAGCUCUCUAUGUGGUAGGUCUGGCUCUAAUAGUUGAAGGAGAGAUUGUUUUGGGUGUUAUGGGAUGUCCGAAUUGGCAGGAUGAGCAUUUAGAUGAAUUUAACAAAGUUCAGGGAGAUGCAGGUACUGUUUCCAGAUCAGGGAUCAUUAUGAUAUCCCAUGUUGGUUGUGGAACAUGGAGAACAAAAUUGUGGGAUCUACAAAUUGGAAAUAACAAAAUGGAUCAUAAUUGGACGAGGUGCUUAGUUGACGGGUUUCACCUAGUUGAUCAAGCGCGUUAUUGUAUUCCAGAGAGUCAAACAUGGGAGUCUUUGCCCCUUUCAACUCAAUUUGAUGCGGUAACAAAUGCUAACAGUGUUGGGGAGAAACAGAUUCUUCUUCUGCCUGCUUGCUGUGGAAGGUUCACUUCAAUUAAGAUACUUGUGCAUUCUCUUACUGUUCCUUAAAUCUGACUGGGCCUGAUGAAGAAAAUUUAUCGUAUUAAGAGCAUAAAGAGUAUGUGUAAAGAUUGAUCAGAGAAACAGAUUUCUGGACCGAAAUCCUGGACAUUAAAUUCAUUAUCAUUAUUCUUGGACUAAGUAUAUUCAAUUGUGUCACGUUACCCCACUAGCAUCCAACAUUUUGUAUUACUAGCUUCCUUGUUUUUUUCAUAAUCUUUGCGGCUUAGUUGCUGUGUAAUGACCUUUCAAAGGAAUGAUGCUGCAUUUGUUCCCCAAUAGCAGGCUUCCUUACAGUGAACCAUGUUUAUGACAUCUUUCUAUUCUUUGGUUUCCUAAAAUACUUGCUUAGAAUCAUGCAUUAAAUGGAUUGAAGGUGUCAGAGAACUAGAAUCACCUUCCAUUCAUCAUGUCAAUCUGUUAGCAUGUAUGAAGUUAUGCAAAUGCUAAGUAGAUAUACAUUCCCUGAGAUGACUUUUAGUCCAGUUCAAAUUUCUAGUUAAUUUAACAUCAUUCAUCCAAUAGAAUCAUCGCUUUGUAACCUUGAACAACUAGCAUGGCGUGAAGAACUGUAUAGGCCACAGAAAGAGAGAUUUAUUCCUAUCCACAUGCAAGUUGUUUAGUGAUACUCUAGUUGUUAUUUUGCCAAUUCACCAUCUUGUUCCUGGGUGCUUUGGGUGUAAUACACUUUAGCUGUGUGCAUUUGCUCUUUUUUUUCUUAUGUCUGCCGCCUGUACAGUCUCUGUAAAUAUCUGAUGGUGGCAUCUGGAAGAGCAUCCGUUUUCAUUGUUCGUGCAAGGACUAAAACAAUUAUCAAGGUUUGGGAUCAUGCUGUUGGAGUCAUAUGUAUUAGUGAAGCUGGAGGAAGGGUAACUGACUGGAAGGGUA